GUUUGCAUUUUCUGCUUACUUUACCUGGACUUAGUUCUGCCACUAGAGUCUAAACUGACUGGGAGCUGGACUGGGAGCUGGAGCCGGGACUUGACUCAGGGUUUUUUUUGUUUUUUAAGAUUGUAUUUAUUUAUUUGACAGAGAGAGACACAGUGAGAGAGGGAACACAAGCAGGGCGAGCAGGUGGGCAGACGGGCCCAGUGCCCAAGCAUUUUCCGGUCUCUACUGCUGUCACAUGUGCAGCUGUUCUGUGAGCCAAAGCAAGUGUCACUCCGAGUGGAGAAAUAGGCUCCACCCCUUAGUGGGAGGGGCUGAAGUCACGUGGCAAGGGGUGUGCGGACAGGGACAGGAGAAUCCCCGGUUGUAUUGGCCAACUACCACCCUAAAGCCCCGAGUUUCGAGUUUCGAGUUUCCUAUUCCUCUGACUGAACUCUCCCUGGAACCUGGGGAGAUUCUAAGAUAUUUUGACACGACGGAAUCUCACCUGCUCCUUCAGGCACGUCCCUCCUCUUUGAGGAGGUCGGCACCCUCCCUCCUUCCGGACUUCCCGUGA
Molecule: long non-coding RNA, 553 nt
Filed under: Mustela putorius furo (domestic ferret)
Lineage: Eukaryota; Metazoa; Chordata; Mammalia; Carnivora; Mustelidae
Description: lncRNA (ENSMPUG00000024695.1)
Source: RNAcentral